AUCAAAAACAUGUCUUUAAGGGGAAAAUUUAAGGUCUGAUCUGCUCAAUGAGUAAUCUUAAAUAGCUGCAGUAUUUUAACUGUACAAAGGUAGCAUAAUAAAUAGUUUAUUAAUUGUAAACUUGAAUGAAUGAUUGGAUAAAAUAUUUACUGUUUAUUUUAAAGUUUGUAAAAUUUUAAUUUUAAGUAAAAAUGCUUAAAUAAGGUUAAGGGACGAGAAGACCCUAUAGAUUUUUAUAUUUAAGGUAAAUUUAUAGGUUUGGUUUAAAGGAAAUUUAUUUUGAAUAUUUUAAUGGGGAAUUAAGAAAAUAAUUUAAUUUUUUGUUUUAUUUUCAUUUGUGUAUGAUUAGAAUAAUAAUAAUACGUAAUUAAUAGAGAUAAAAAUGCCUUAUGGAUAACAGCAUAAUAAUUUUUUUAAGAUCAAAUUUUAAAAGUUGAUUGUGACCUCGAUGUAUG
This 455-nucleotide ribosomal RNA is filed under the name Szepligetella sp. DERV055. RNAcentral's name for it is "partial 16S ribosomal RNA". The record is from RNAcentral. Lineage: Eukaryota; Metazoa; Arthropoda; Insecta; Hymenoptera; Evaniidae.